UACGUAGGGGGCAAGCGUUAUCCGGAUUUACUGGGUGUAAAGGGAGCGUAGACGGCAUAGCAAAUCUGAAGUGAAAGCCCGUGGCUCAACCGCGGAACUGCUUUGGAAACUGUUAAGCUGGAGUACUGGAGAGGCAAGCGGAAUUCCUAGUGUAGCGGUGAAAUGCGUAGAUAUUAGGAGGAACACCAGAGGCGAAGGCGGCUUGCUGGACAGAGACUGACGUUGAGGCUCGAAAGCGUGGGGAGCAAACAGG
Molecule: ribosomal RNA, 253 nt
Filed under: uncultured bacterium
Lineage: Bacteria
Description: partial 16S ribosomal RNA
Rfam family: Bacterial small subunit ribosomal RNA
Source: RNAcentral